GUGUUUUUAUGAUCUAACCUCAGGAGUCACAUCAGGUUAUUUCUACCACACCCUAAGGACUGAAGUCAUCACAGAGGUCCACCUGGUUUCCAGGGCAGGGGACAUAGACCCCCACCACUCCAUGGAGGAAGGAUGUCAAUGUCCCACUGUAAGAAUAAUAUGCAGGGUGUAAGACCUUGUUACAGACAACUUUGGAAAAUACAACUUGACACAGGAACUGACACUAAGACAACAGGAACAAAGACUAGUCAAUGGCCCCACUUAAUGGCAUGGGAUCUGGGAAGGGUAGUCUCCCUGAUGCCCAAGAAGGAGAGAGAACUGGAUGUUGAGUACCUCAAAGCACUAGAGCUCUGCAGAACCCACCUGUGGGUAGAUUUAAUCUUCAAGUCCCAGGCAAGACUGAGAUAGAAUGCUCUGAGGCAGGCUAAAACUAGCACCCUGACAACAUUCCAGAAAAUCCAGGCACUUAGGUAGAGUCUGCUCCAAAUCACUCCCCUCCUGGCUAUGAAAUUUGACAUACAGCAGAUACAUUGGGUCUUUUUCAUAUGAAGAGUUUCAUAUGUGGCAUAUUACGUGAUCACAUAAAUGUUCCAAAUGAAAUA
This 602-nucleotide long non-coding RNA is filed under the name Vulpes vulpes (red fox). RNAcentral's name for it is "lncRNA (ENSVVUG00000020700.1)". Lineage: Eukaryota; Metazoa; Chordata; Mammalia; Carnivora; Canidae. The record is from RNAcentral.